RNAcentral lists this ribosomal RNA (254 nucleotides) under uncultured bacterium. RNAcentral's name for it is "partial 16S ribosomal RNA". It matches the Rfam family "Bacterial small subunit ribosomal RNA", at positions 524 to 776 of the family's 1533-position model. The record is from RNAcentral.
UACGGGGGGAGCAAGCGUUGUUCGGAAUUACUGGGCGUAAAGGGCUCGUAGGCGGCCAACUAAGUCGGACGUGAAAUCCCUCGGCUUAACCGGGGAACUGCGUCCGAUACUGGAUGGCUUGAGGUUGGGAGAGGGAUGCGGAAUUCCAGGUGUCGCGGUGAAAUGCGUAGAUAUCUGGAGGAACACCGGUGGCGAAGGCGGCAUCCUGGACCAAUUCUGACGCUGAGUGAGCGAAAGCCAGGGGAGCAAACGGG